CGAGUGAAGCGGCAACAGCUCAAAUUUGAAAUCUGGCCCCCCGCGGGCCCGAGUUGUACUUUGGAGAGGACGCUUCUGGCGCGGCGCCGUCCGAGUUCCCUGGAACGGGACGCCGGAGAGGGUGAGAGCCCCGUACGGGCGGCCGCCUAGCCUCUGCGAAGCUCCUUCGACGAGUCGAGUAGUUUGGGAAUGCUGCUCAAAAUGGGAGGUAAAUUUCUUCUAAAGCUAAAUACCGGCCAGAGACCGAUAGCGCACAAGUAGAGUGAUCGAAAGAUGAAAAGCACUUUGAAAAGAGGGUCAAACAGUACGUGAAAUUGUUGAAAGGGAAGCGCCUGUGGCCAGACUUGCGCCCCGCGGACCACCCGGCGCCUCGCGCGCCGGGGCACGCCAGCGGGGCGCAGGCCAGCAUCGGCUCUCUCGGGGGGACAAAGGCCGCGGGAACGUAGCGCCCUCGCGGCGUAUUAUAGCCCGCGGCGCCAUGCCCCCGGGGGGGCCGAGGACCGCGCUCCGGCAAGGAUGCUGGCGUAAUGGCCACCGGCGACCCGUCUUGAAACACGGACCAAGGAGUCAAGCAUUGGGGCGAGUGUCUGGGUGGCAAGCCCGCACGCGGAAUGAAAGUGAACGCAGGUGGGAGCUUCGGCGCACCACCGACCGAUCCUGAUGUCCUCGGAUGGAUUUGAGUAGGAGCCCCGCCGCUUGGACCCGAAAGAUGGUGAACUAUGCCUGUAUAGGGUGAAGCCAGAGGAAACUCUGGUGGAGGCCCGCAGCGGUUCUGACGUGCAAAUCGAUCGUC
This 793-nucleotide ribosomal RNA is filed under the name Harringtonia lauricola. RNAcentral's name for it is "Raffaelea lauricola partial large subunit ribosomal RNA". It matches the Rfam family "Eukaryotic large subunit ribosomal RNA", at positions 90 to 906 of the family's 3401-position model. The record is from RNAcentral. Lineage: Eukaryota; Fungi; Ascomycota; Sordariomycetes; Ophiostomatales; Ophiostomataceae.